RNAcentral lists this ribosomal RNA (117 nucleotides) under Nomascus leucogenys (northern white-cheeked gibbon). Lineage: Eukaryota; Metazoa; Chordata; Mammalia; Primates; Hylobatidae. The record is from RNAcentral.
GUCUAUGACCAUACCACCCUGAGCGCACCCCAUCUUCUCUGAUCUCGGAAGCUCAGCAAGGUCGGGCCUGGUUAGUACUUGGAUGGGAGAAUAGGGAAGCCUUUCCAGGCAGAGGGA